RNAcentral lists this ribosomal RNA (253 nucleotides) under uncultured bacterium. RNAcentral's name for it is "partial 16S ribosomal RNA". It matches the Rfam family "Bacterial small subunit ribosomal RNA", at positions 524 to 776 of the family's 1533-position model. The record is from RNAcentral.
UACAUGGGGUGCAAACGUUGCUCGGAAUUAUUGGGCGUAAAGCGCACGUAGGUGGUCGCUUAAGUCGGAUGUGAAAGCCCUCGGCUCAACUGAGGAAGUGCAUCCGAAACUGAGUGGCUAGAGUAUGGAAGAGGGUCGCGGAAUUCCCGGUGUAGAGGUGAAAUUCGUAGAUAUCGGGAGGAACACCGAUGGCGAAGGCGGCGACCUGGGCCAAUACUGACACUGAGGUGCGAAAGCGUGGGGAGCAAACAGG